GCCAAAGUCUUGUAAUCAAGAGUUAUGUUUCGGCCAUUCCUUAUGUAGAUAGCCCUACCUUUGGUU
RNAcentral lists this transfer RNA (66 nucleotides) under Gyrodactylus sp. FY-2015. RNAcentral describes it as "tRNA-Arg". Lineage: Eukaryota; Metazoa; Platyhelminthes; Monogenea; Gyrodactylidea; Gyrodactylidae. The record is from RNAcentral.